Molecule: ribosomal RNA, 448 nt
Filed under: uncultured Planctomycetota bacterium
Lineage: Bacteria; Pseudomonadati; Planctomycetota
Description: bacterial SSU rRNA
Rfam family: Bacterial small subunit ribosomal RNA
Source: RNAcentral
GCUUAGAGAGGGGUCAAUGUCCUAUCAGCUAGUUGGUAAGGUAAUGGCUUACCAAGGCUAAGACGGGUAGCCGGCCUGAGAGGGUGGUCGGCCACACUGGGACUGAGACACUGCCCAGACUCCUACGGGAGGCUGCAGUCGAGAAUCUUUCGCAAUGCCCGAAAGGGUGACGAAGCGACGCCGCGUGUGGGAAGAAGGCCUUCGGGUUGUAAACCACUGUCGGGAGUUAAGAAAUGUAAGGGUGUUAAUAGCAUCCUUACUUGACUAAGGCUCCGGAGGAAGCCACGGCUAACUCUGUGCCAGCAGCCGCGGUAAUACAGAGGCGGCAAGCGUUGUUCGGAAUUAUUGGGCGUAAAGAGCACGUAGGCGGCUUUGUAAGUCAGUUGUGAAAGCCUUCCGCUUAACGGAAGAACAGCAUCUGAUACUGCAAGGCUAGAGUGCGAAAGGG